This 136-nucleotide small nucleolar RNA is filed under the name Triticum aestivum (bread wheat). RNAcentral describes it as "Small nucleolar RNA Z247". It matches the Rfam family "Small nucleolar RNA Z247". From Rfam's summary of the family: Z247 is a member of the C/D class of snoRNA which contain the C (UGAUGA) and D (CUGA) box motifs. Lineage: Eukaryota; Viridiplantae; Streptophyta; Magnoliopsida; Poales; Poaceae. The record is from Rfam by way of RNAcentral.
CUCUUUGAUCCGGAGAUCGUCUCCAAGAUCCUUGUUGGCCUUGAUAUGGAGUAUAAUUCUGUCGUCUCUGCUCUUGCGGCACGGGUGGAAUCUAGCACGAUUCCGGAGCUACACAGCCAGCUGCUUAGUUUUGAUG